UUUUACAAUUUGGGCAUUCUUUUCAGAUUUAUUCAAAAAAGCUCGUUAGGAAAAGGAUGAUCUUUUAAGAAACGACGAAUGUUAAUGGACCUGGCCUUAAUCUAUAAAAAUUCCUUUAACCGUUUAGACCAUUUUUGGUCCAUUUACCGAAAUUGGAUACAAACAAUGUCCAACUUGGGAUAUCAACGUCGUCAUCAUCAUCCUACAGCUACAAAUUAGUGCCGUGGUUGAGCUGGGACGAGUGGCUCUUCGUCGACGAAUCUCUCUUUUCGAAGUCACCUAAUUCUGUGGCCUCCGCUUUAAGAAGAAUAUCAGCAUGGAGAAGCAGAGGAUGUCUUCCUGUUGUAGUUGAAGUCACAUCAUCGAUUAUUGAAAUUCAGCAAAAAGAUCCUCACUUUAGAAAGGACCAGUCAAAUGAUGCUUUGGAUAAUUGCAGAGGGGAUCAAUCAAGUGAUGCUUCACUUUCAGACGAAUGCUGGCCAUGUUAUAUUGUAUGGCAAUAAUGAGGCUUGUGAAUGGUGUUGUUGAGAAGACACGGAAGAAAGCUGAGGUUUCCAUUGCUGUGGCUGCUGAUGCAAUUGGCAUUCCAUGCACACUGAUUGAUAUUCGUCAUGAGGGUUCUCACCGUGAACUUCCCGCAUUUGAGGUUGUACGUAGUGCUUCAGUUAAGGCCCUUGAUUGGUUGAAGUACUAUUACUGGGAGCCACAGAAGAAAGCAAUUCCAUUUCAUGGCAAUGAAACUGCUGGCAUCAAAACUGAGAUAAGGUCGAAAUUCCAUGAAUUGGCCUUCUGCUUAAGAGUUAAGAACACUCCUCACUUGCGUUCUUCAAAAAUGAAAGAAAAACGUGGUUCUAAGAAAGACCUUACCAAGAUAUUGAAAAGCCUUGUAGGGUUGUAUUCUGCCUUCUCCUCAGAAGUUGUUUCUGUACUGUUGGAGUUCUUGUUGAAGGCUAUAAAUUCCUCAGAUUCCUCAGAGCUUCCAGUAAACACCCAAAAUAGCCCAAGCCUACAAAUUUCAUUGAAUGAGUGGAAGCUUGUGAUAGCAAAAUUUUCAAAUAAGGAACCAGAGUUACUUCUGGCUCUUCUGAAUGCAGUUCUUGAUAUGAUUGAGAAUCAGGAAGCAGUGAUAUAUGAGACGGGCUGCUAGAUAUCAGGACAUGGAUGACAUUGUAAGCUUAGCAUCUGCUGGUGUUUUGCUUGAUUCGAUUCUAAGGAUUCUCAUACCCAAACAGCUUGUGACUGGAAGUAGAUAGGUGUGGAGCUGCAGGGUGAUUUUGGAAGGAUAGAGAUCUGAAGAGAUCUGUGAUAAAACAGUCCACAUCUGUAGUAAGUAGUAUAGACUUGCAGUUCUAUUUCCACAUAACUGCUGCAGUUCCAAAUUUCAAAAGCAGAAUCAAAACUUCCAAAUUGAGGUGAGCGGUUGCCGUUCAGUUUGUAUGAAAUAACUUUCUUUGUUAAUCUCCUACUUGUAUUCUAUUGAUUGGGUUCUUAACCAUAUUUGAAUUCCCACCUUUUUUAAUUCAUUGAAAAGUUGUACUAGAGUUUCGUCACCAAAAAAAUUGUGGAGUUAUAGAGAAUUUUUUGUACCAAAAAAGAACUAUUUCACUUCACCUUUAUUCCUGGCUUUCAGGUUGGUUUUCGGAUGUUUUCAUCCUCUCCUUUGUACUCUUAUGGUGUUCAAAUAAAGCAUCUUUCCCAACAAAAAACAAAAAAGAAGCAAAAACACAACCAUGAUAAGCACAAAAGCUGCUU
Non-coding RNA from Prunus mume (Japanese apricot), 1752 nucleotides. The record is from RefSeq and is a predicted model, not a curated record. Lineage: Eukaryota; Viridiplantae; Streptophyta; Magnoliopsida; Rosales; Rosaceae.